CCUACGGGGCGCAGCAGUGAGGAAUAUUGGUCAAUGGGCGCGAGCCUGAACCAGCCACGUAGCGUGAAGGAUGAAUGCCCUACGGGUUGUAAACUCCUUUUAUAAGGGAAUAAAGUGUGGGACGUGUCCUGUUUUGUAUGUACCUUAUGAAUAAGGAUCGGCUAACUCCGUGCCGGCAGCCGCGGUAAUACGGAGGAUCCGAGGGUUGUCCGGAUUUAUUGGGUUUAAAGGGUGCGUAGGCGGCCUUUUAAGUCAGCGGUGAAAUUCUGGGGCUCAACCAUAGAAUUGCCGGUGAAACUGGUGGGCUUGAGUAUGUGAGAGGCAGGCGGAAUGCGUGGUGUAGCGGUGAAAUGCUUAGAUAUCACGCAGAACCCCGAUGGCGAAGGCAGCCUGCCAGGCCAUGACUGACGCUGAUGCACGAAAGCGUGGGGAUCAAACAGGAUUAGAUACCCGAGUAGUC
Molecule: ribosomal RNA, 460 nt
Filed under: uncultured bacterium
Lineage: Bacteria
Description: partial 16S ribosomal RNA
Rfam family: Bacterial small subunit ribosomal RNA
Source: RNAcentral